UAGUGUAAAGGGCACAAAAAAUUUUGAUUUUUUAAGAGGUAGUUAAAAUCUAUUAU
RNAcentral lists this transfer RNA (56 nucleotides) under Parapotamon spinescens. RNAcentral describes it as "tRNA-Gln". The record is from RNAcentral. Lineage: Eukaryota; Metazoa; Arthropoda; Malacostraca; Decapoda; Potamidae.